RNAcentral lists this ribosomal RNA (440 nucleotides) under uncultured bacterium. RNAcentral's name for it is "partial 16S ribosomal RNA". It matches the Rfam family "Bacterial small subunit ribosomal RNA", at positions 338 to 795 of the family's 1533-position model. The record is from RNAcentral.
CCUACGGGAGGCAGCAGUGGGGGAUAUUGCACAAUGGGGGGAACCCUGAUGCAGCGACGCCGCGUGGGUGAAGAAGCGCCUCGGCGCGUAAAGCUCUAUCAGCAGGGAAGAAAAUGACGGUACCUGACUAAGAAGCACCGGCUAACUACGUGCCAGCAGCCGCGGUAAUACGUAGGGGGCAAGCGUUAUCCGGAUUUACUGGGUGUAAAGGGAGCGUAGACGGUAAUGCAAGUCUGAAGUGAAAGCCCAAGGCUCAACCAUGGGACUGCUUUGGAAACUGUAAAACUGGAGUGCAGGAGAGGUAAGCGGAAUUCCUAGUGUAGCGGUAAAAUGCGUAGAGAUUAGGAGGAACACGAGUGGCGAAGGCGGCUUACUGGACUGUAACUGACGUUGAGGCUCGAAGGCGUGGGGAGCAAACAGGAUUAGAUACCCCUGUAGUC